Populus trichocarpa (black cottonwood) is the source of this 61-nucleotide non-coding RNA. The record is from Rfam. NCBI's taxonomy places the organism in Eukaryota, Viridiplantae, Streptophyta, Magnoliopsida, Malpighiales, Salicaceae.
UUAGUUCAGUUCGGUAGAAUAUAGAUCUUUAAAAUUUAAUGUUGUAGGUUAAAAUCCUAUA